Molecule: ribosomal RNA, 509 nt
Filed under: uncultured bacterium
Lineage: Bacteria
Description: partial 16S ribosomal RNA
Rfam family: Bacterial small subunit ribosomal RNA
Source: RNAcentral
GACGAACGCUGGCGGCGUGCUUAACACAUGCAAGUCGAACGAAGAGCGAUGGAAGCUUGCUUCUAUCAAUCUUAGUGGCGAACGGGUGAGUAACGCGUAAUCAACCUGCCCUUCAGAGGGGGACAACAGUUGGAAACGACUGCUAAUACCGCAUACGAUCUAAUCUCGGCAUCGAGGAUAGAUGAAAGGUGCCUCUACAUGUAAGCUAUCACUGAAGGAGGGGAUUGCGUCUGAUUAGCUAGUUGGAGGGGUAACGGCCCACCAAGGCGAUGAUCAGUAGCCGGUCUGAGAGGAUGAACGGCCACAUUGGGACUGAGACACGGCCCAGACUCCUACGGGAGGCAGCAGUGGGGAAUCUUCCGCAAUGGACGAAAGUCUGACGGAGCAACGCCGCGUGAGUGAUGACGGCCUUCGGGUUGUAAAGCUCUGUUAAUCGGGACGAAAGGCCUUCUUGCGAAUAGUGAGAAGGAUUGACGGUACCGGAAUAGAAAGCCACGGCUAACUACGUG